ACCAAAAAAUAUAUAUGAAGUUACUCAAUUUCUUUCAUCACUGAAGAAAUGCAAAUUAAAUCAAUGAGAUUAUUUGUAUUUAUCUGAUUGACAGAGAUAAGGUUCGGUCAUGCUCAGGGUUCCUAUGUAAAAUGGCACCGUUUCUUAGAAUACACAUUCUCUGACAAAUAUCAUAGCUUGAAUUCCCCAGAAAGCAGAGUCCAGAGGCAAAGGCUUACAUGCUGCCAAUUAAUCCCAGGAAGCAGGAGAGGAGCUCAAUGAACAGGGAAGGAGGGAGACCAGGAAGGAGAGUGAAUUAAAGAAAUUAGGUGAAAACUGUAACAUAUUUUUAAACUUUUUUUCACAUAUCAUAUAGUUGGUAGUGUUUCUAUUUUGAAACUUUUCUCUGUGGGUAAAACAAAUAGGCAAUUUUGUGGUAUUCCAAAUUCCACAUCUUCAGUGUUCUCAAGAACCAGGAUUCUCAGGGUCAAAGAGAAGGGAUAGGGCUUCCCUGGUGGCGCAGUGGUUGAGAGUCCGCCUGCCGAUGCAGGGGACACGAGUUCGUGUCCCGGUCCGGGAGGAUCCCACAUGCCGCCGAGCGGCUGGGCCCGUGAGCCAUGGCUGCUGAGCCUGCGCGUCCGGAGCCUGUGCUCUGCAACGGGAGAGGCCACAACAGUGAGAGGCCCACGUACCGCAAAAAAAAAAAAUAAUAAUAAAAAGAGAAGGGAUGGAGAUGUAAAAUAAGAGAGAUUAAGUAAAACUCUGUAGCCCUACAUUUGAAUUGGAAACAUCACUUUGAGACUAUGACAUACUUUUUAUAAAACAAAAUAAACCAUUUUUUUCCAUGUCUUUCUGCUGAAAAAGCUUUGUAAAAAAUGACAACCCCAGUAGCAGUGAGGACCUCCAGCACCUUGGUUACUCUCCAAAUCAUCUUCCAUUGAAAGGAACCAGGGCUCCUUGGAAAAAUCACUGAUACCAAGUCUGAGACAGGAAAUGUACGAGAUGAGCCUGAACAUCAUAUCAUAUUAGGAAGCAAGGAAGUUAUCAAAGCUACAGGAGUCAUAUCUGAAAGACCAGAAGCCAACUUGAAGGUUCCCAUUAACCAAAAAUAGCUUAAUUUAACCUCCAUACCCCGCCUCCCAGCCCUCAGUACAGGAUCCCCUCUAGUCAUGAACCAUGAAAACUGAAUCCUGUCUCAAUAGAAACCUCCCAUCUCCUGUGCUGAAUAUGUGGAAUGCCAAGUUUGAAUCUUCUUUAGGCUAUACCUGGGGGAAGGGGGCACUAACCAAAAAGGCUUCAGAUUGACCCAGAUCUAUUUGAUUUUUCUAUUCCCCACCACCUCAACCUCACCCCAUCCCCUCUCACUCACCCUUAACACACGCAGCCAUCUACUCAGUCCUUCCCUCAUCAAAAAGGCCUUCCCUAUUCUUGCCAGGUGAGAAUGGCUUUACAUAAUAUUCUUUCCAUAUCAUCUCAAUGGCUAAAGUGAUCUGAGUCAACCAGGUCUUGGCUCUUGCCAUUUCAAGAGAGGGCUUUUGAAAUUCGUAAAGACCUGUAUCUCUCAGUCAAGCCUUUCAAACAACCAUUGAUUCAAUGCUCAGGAAGUCAGAGGGAAACCCAAAACUUAAGUGUCAGAGAAGAACAAAGUGUUUAUGUCUUCAAACCUGUUAUCCUUCAGCUACUGGACCUGUCAGUCAAUCUCAGCAUCACUAAAAGUGGAACACACAGACAUUAUGUGUUCCUGAGGGGAUGCAAUUAUGAUUUGCACAGCACAGAACCAACUGUGAACUAGUCAUACCUUAAACACUGAACCUGAAUCUAAUCAAGUUUUAAAUAUAGCUUUCAAUGCAGAGGAAAUACGAAGGUGCAAUAAAAGUUAAAUAACACCCUGAAAAAACAGAUAAGUCAUAGAACAUUCUGUGGGACAAAAGCAUGUAUAAAGAAGGGGAGGGGGUAUAUGCUGCAGAUUCAGAAACUAAAGAAACAGAACAAUGAAAUGAAACAUGUGGACCUUGCUUGGGUCCUGACUCAAACAAACAUUAUAAAAAUACAUUUUUAAUGCAAUCCCUGAUUUUUUAUGCAAUUAGGAAAAUUUGAAUAUAGACUAGGUAUUACCCGAUAUCAAGGAAUUACCACUUAUUUUGUUAGACGUGCUUUUUAAUAGAAAAAUGUUCUAAUGUUUUAAAGAUGCAUAUUGAAAUAUGUUGGGGUAAAACAACAUGAUAUUAUGGAUUUAUUUUAAAGUAGUUUAUACUUUACUUUUUCAAAAUAUUUAUUUAUUUAUUUAGCUACACCGGGUCUGAGUUGCAGCACACUGGCUCUUUAGUUGCGGCAUGUAGGAUCUAGUUCCCUGAUCAGGAACCGAACGGGGGGCCCCUGCAUUGGGAGAGUGGAGUCUUAGCCACUGGACCACCAGGCAAGUCCCUAUUAAAGUAGUUUAAAAAAAAAAAGAAGAAUUCAAUCUAAAUGUACCAACCUGAGAAAAUGUCUAUAAUACAUUUUCUCAGGUUGGUACAUGCAAAAUGCAAGUUGAAGAUAAAAAUAUAUAACAUAAUUAUAUUUCAUCAAUAUAAAAUUUUGUAGUUAGAUGAUAGAUAUAGAAACUUGACCCUAUACAUGUGGAUAAAAUAGGAAUAAAAUGCACAGAAUUUAAAUAACAGUUACCUUGGGGGAAAAGUGUUGCUUGGAAAGAAAGAGGACUUUGAAAUAUAACUUUUAAUAAUUGUUUACAGUUGUACUGUAAUUGACGAAUAUUUACUUUUUGUUCUUUAAUUAUUUGUCAAAUAAAAAAUUAAAAACCUUAAAACCACAAACUUAAAAUUUAAACCUAUUCUACUUAUUACAUAUAUAGAAAAAUGAAGAGAGAACAUCUGGAAGGACAAGAGUUAAUGGUGAUUUCCUCUGAGAACAGGCAUUUGGAGGAGCUGGCAAGACAACUAGAAAUUUCAUCCUGCAGACCUCAGUACUGAUUGAACGUUUUAUAACAAGCAUGAGGUAAAUUCACCAUUGAAAGAAAAAGGAAAAAAGUUAAUACACAAACUCAAAGCCUAGAAAAAACAAUUAAAUCAAACAUCUUUUUAUAUACAACCUAUCAACUUCUUGAGGAUGCAUAUUUCAUCAAAUAUCUGCUCUUAAUAAAAAAGAGAAGAAACAGUAAAAUGUUACCAACUGGUUAAAAACAAACACCAAGUUGUUGUGAUCAGCUUUGGGUUUAAAAUCCUGGAUUCAAAUCCCAGAGUUGUCACUACGACUAUAUGACAUUGGCCAAAUUACAACAUCUCUCUUAGCCACAUGACAACUAUGAAAGGGGUUAAAUAACAGGAGAAGCCCAAACCAAAUCCUUGUUCGGCCAUUUACCAUCUGUUGUGUCCUUGGUUGAGUGACAAUUUCCCUGUGCCUCGGUUUUCUCAUCUGGAAAAUGGAGGGAACAACCUCCUAGGAUUGUGGUGAAGAUUAAAGGAGUUACAUACAAAACAUUCAGAACAAUGCCAACCCCAAAUAAACCCUUCAGUAAGUGGGGUUAUUAUCACCUCCUAUGCAGGAACUACAAAAACUUAAAUGAGAUUCUGCACAUUGAGCACUUUGCACAGUACCUUGGUAGCCGUUAUACUCAUCAAUCCAGGAUUAAGUGUAUUUUUUUAUUGUGGUUAAAAAAAUAUAUAUACAUAAAAUGUGCCAUCUUAACCAUUUUUAACUGUACAAUUCAGUAGUGUUAAGUAUAUUCACACUGUUGUAAAAUAGAUCGCCAGAACUUUUUCAUCCUGCAUAACUGAAACCUUGUACCCAUUAGACAACAACUCCUUUUUACCCCUUCUCCCCAGCCCCACCAUUAUACUUUCUUUUUCUAUGAAUUUGACUACUUUAGGUACCCCAGACUAGUGGAACCACACAGUAUUUGUCUUUUUGUGACUCGCUUAUUUCAUUUAGCAUAAUGUCCUAAAAGUUCAUCUGUGUUGUAGCAUGUGCAAGGAUUUCUUCCUUUUUGAGGCUGAAUAAUAUCCCAUUGCUUGUAUAUACCACAUUUUGUCUAUUUGUCCAUCCGUUGAUGGACACUUGGGUUGCUUCCAUCUCUUGGCUAUCAGGAGUAGUGCUGCUAUGAAUAUGAGUAUGCAAAUAUCUCUUCAGCACUCUGCUUUCAGUUCUUUUGGAUAUAUACCCAGAAGUAGGAUUGCUGGAUCAUAUGGUAGUGCUAUUUUCAAUUUUGUGAGGAACUUCCAUACUACUUUCCCUAGCAGCUGUACCAUUUUACCUUCCCACCAACAGUGUGCAAGAGUUCCAGUUUUAUCACAUCCUCUCUAACACCUGUUAUUUUCUGUUUUGUUUUCUUUUAAUAGUAGCCAUCCUACUAUCAAGUAUCAGGUGACAUCUCAGUGGUUUUGAUUUGCAUUUCUCUUAUGAUUAGUGAGGUUGAGCAUAUUUUCAUGCAGUUGUUAGCCAUUUGUAUUUCUUCUUUGGACAUACAUCUAUUCAAGUCCUAUUUCUCUUAAAAAAGAAAGAGAAGAAACACUAAAAUGUUACCAACUGGUUAAAAACAAACACCAGUAUGGUUAUGAUCAGGUUUGUGUUCUCUCUCUCCCUCUUUUACUGUGUCCCCCCAUGGCAGACAGAGAGAGAGUUCUUUGGCAUCCCUUCUUAUAAGGAAAGGACACUAAUCCUAUCAAAUCAGGGCCCCACCCUUAGGUCCUCAUUUAACUUUAAUUCAUAAAGCCCCCAUCUCCAAAUACAAGCACACUGGGGGUUAGAGCUUCAUGAAGUUGGAGGGGGACUCAACUCAGCCCAUACCACUGAGUAAGUGCAUACAGGUUCCAUAAAUCUGCUGUGGCUUGUCACCCUUGCCAUGAGCUUCUUCAAGCUACGGCCAUCUCACAAUGCCUAUAUCACUGUAAUCAUCACCCUCACCUUCAUCCUUAUCAUCAACAAAUUGUAGUUUUCUUUCCAGGGAGAUUCUCUCAGGCCCCCUUGAUGGAGCUUUAUCAAGACAAAUGUCUAGCAUAUCAAGGAAACAAAGUCUUGUGGACUUUUACAAUAACCAAGAAGAGGCGGAUCCACUAAGGCCUAAACUGAAAUUCUUCAGUAACCUGAGUCCUCAGCUAGAGCAAAAUCUACUGCAAAGCUGCUCUCCUCUUUGAGCAGGGGGCUGAAUGCUGAAGGUCAUAAAAAAUUCAACAGGUGCAAGUACUGCUCAUGAACUCUAAUAAUUUAUUUUGCAUUCAUGGUGCAUUUAGGUUUAUAGGACAUUGUCAAUAAAUUGUUGCAAUGUGCAUUUAUGUUUAUGAUUUAUAAAUAUUGUAAAUACUAUGAUGAUUAUUGAAAGGCAUACUGACAAAUCUUACUGAUUACCAAUGUUUAAAUAUGUCAGUUUUGUUUGAAGGGUAAAAACUGUCCGUACUUUUUAAUUCUCAAGGCUCUUAUCUCUAAAGUGGACACAUUUUUUUUUUUUUUUUAGUUUUUUUAUUAUUCACUUUAUUUUCCAGUUUGGGUCACAUAUAAUGAUUUUUUUCUUUUUUUUUAACAUCUUUAUUGGAGUAUAAUUGCUUUACAAUGGUGUGUUAGUUUCUGCUUUAUAACAAAGUGAAUCAGCUAUACAUAUACUUAUAUCCCCAUAUCUCCUCCCUCUUGUGUCUCCCUCCCACCCUUCCUACCCCUCUAGGUGGUCACAAAGCACCGAGCUGAUUUCCCUGUGCUACGCGGCUGCUUCCUGCUAGUUGGCUAUUUUACAUGUGGUAGUGUAUAUAUGUCCAUGCCACUCUCUCACUUCGUCCCAGCUUACCCUUCCCCCUCCCUGUGUCCUCAAGUCCAUUCUCUAUGUCUGGGUCUUUAUUCCUGUCCUGCCCCUAGGACACAUAUCUAGAGGUAUCAAGUAAAACAAGAUUCCAAAUAUGGAGGAAAUGGUCCCCGUUCUUGUGACAGCUACUUAAUAAAGUAAUAAAACAAAGGUAAAAGCUAGACAACAUGUAAAGCUGGCCACCAAGAGAGUAAGUCACAAACUGAACACAGCACUUUCCUCCAGGCUAGAUCUUAUAGACACACACACCGUCGGUUUCAAAAUCAUUUUGGAAGGGACUCAGAAAACCGCCCUGCCUCAUCCAUAGGUUCCUUAACUUCAAGGGUCCCAACUCUAGUGGGGAGCUGACCCAGGUCAUGCCUAUUUCACGGUCCUGCAAACACUCAAGGGACCCAAUUAAAAGCCACAGGCAUGAUGGCAGCCAGGCCAGGAGACCCAGUGGCCACUCAGACAUCUCAACGGAGUCAAGUUAACAUUGAUUGUUAUGGAGACGGCCAGUUUUCUUCAUGAAUGAACAGCUGUUCCAUCACUCUGUCCAAAGGAACACUGCCAAAGUCUGGGGGCCCAGCUGGCUCCCAACAAAGGCACACACUGCCAGAGAGGGGGCUCAGCGGGAGAAGUGACCCAGCCUUCUUUGACAGGUCAAUUGAGCUCUGCUGUAGAAAAUGCUUCACACAGGCCUGUUUUCUCUCCCCCUCACCCGCAGGGCAAACAUGGCUUGAUUGUUAAAAUGACCAUGAAUAACUGUGGCUGGCUUUUUUCCCUGUUGGUGGCUGCACGUACUGAUUUUUCCACUACUUUCAAAAUCCUUUCUAAAGGGUGUUGGGAGGAAGUUCUAGAAGACAAACACUCCGUAUAAAUGAACCCCCAAACAGAGGGGUGUUAUCACCGACCUCAGAGCAGCCUUUCAAGUAUGCAGACUCUGUCCGUAAGACACCACCUUCUCACUAAUUGAAAGGAUGCUAAUUCUUGCUGAGUCCCUCUUGCUUGCUCUACAAAGUUGAAGCUGGUUGGAUCUAAACUUUGUGCUGUGUUCUCUCUUUGUAUCUGCUCUUUGUAGAACAUUACCUGUGGUGGAGGAUAUAACUAUGGAGACUGGAGUCCCUGCCCUCAGUAAACUCACAGUCGCUUGGACCCGCAAGUGCACAAGAAGAUGGGGUGGAAUAGAAAAGUGGCACUGAGCUGAUACCCAGCUUGCCAAAGUCAAGCCUGUGUCCUCACAAACUCCAGAGCUAAGCAAAGGGAGGAUGAAUCACAGAAAUACAUGGCUUUAAAGCACUGAGGUCAGGACUGUGCACCCAUUAAAAAGAACAAGGCAGAGCCAUAUGUGCUGACAGGGAGCAAGCCCAGAACACACUGGACACUGACAAAAAAUUCAAAUGGAAGUGCAAAGAUCCUGGAAGAGCCAAAACAAGUCUGGAAAAGAACAGAGUUGAAGAACUAACGGCUGGGAGUUGGUUGGAUGAAGAGCAGGAGGGGGAGCUUUAUACGUAUUUAAUGUGUGAAUCAUGUGAAUGUAUUACCUAUUCAAAAAAUGAAAUUCAAAAGCACUUAUGCCGCUUCUUAAGGCACAGUUUAUGCUAAAUUUCGAGAGCAAAUUAUCAGGAAGUAUUGCAAAUCUUCCAUUUUGGUAAGAAAAAAAGUCAAAUUGUCCAUCAGAUCAAUUUAAGCCAAGGUUUGGAUCCUGGGGCUAUUGUUGUUUACAAAGACACUAAGUUAUUUCUGAGAACAUUAGGAAAUGUUGCGUCUGAGCAAGGUAUUUUUUAACCCUAUGCCGUGGUCACAUCUGGUCCCAAAGCAAAGAAACUCUUUAUCAAGAAAGAAGGUGAAUUUCUGGUUCCCUCCUCCAUCUGAGAUCUCAACCAACAAGACUUUUUCCUUUUCCUUCCUUUUCUUUUUUUAAUUGAAAUAUAGUUAAUUUACAAUGCUGUGUUUUCUUUUUUAAGGCAAUUUUAUCGACGUAUGAUUGGCAGACAAUAAACUGUACACAUUUAAAGUGUAUAA
This is a long non-coding RNA of Orcinus orca (killer whale), 7768 nucleotides long. RefSeq lists it as uncharacterized. NCBI's taxonomy places the organism in Eukaryota, Metazoa, Chordata, Mammalia, Artiodactyla, Delphinidae. The record is from RefSeq and is a predicted model, not a curated record. The transcript is spliced from 3 exons.